RNAcentral lists this ribosomal RNA (481 nucleotides) under uncultured bacterium. Its description in RNAcentral is "bacterial SSU rRNA". It matches the Rfam family "Bacterial small subunit ribosomal RNA", at positions 329 to 802 of the family's 1533-position model. The record is from RNAcentral.
GUACUUACUCCUACGGGAGGCAGCAGUAGGGAAUCUUCCGCAAUGGGCGAAAGCCUGACGGAGCAACGCCGCGUGAGUGAUGAAGGUCUUCGGAUCGUAAAACUCUGUUAUUAGGGAAGAACAAAUGUGUAAGUAACUAUGCACGUCUUGACGGUACCUAAUCAGAAAGCCACGGCUAACUACGUGCCAGCAGCCGCGGUAAUACGUAGGUGGCAAGCGUUAUCCGGAAUUAUUGGGCGUAAAGCGCGCGUAGGUGGUUUUUUAAGUCUGAUGUGAAAGCCCCCGGCUCAACCGGGGAGGGUCAUUGGAAACUGGGAGACUUGAGUGCAGAAGAGGAGAGUGGAAUUCCAUGUGUAGCGGUGAAAUGCGUAGAUAUAUGGAGGAACACCAGUGGCGAAGGCGGCUCUCUGGUCUGUAACUGACGCUGAGGCUCGAAAGCGUGGGGAGCAAACAGGAUUAGAAACCCGGGUAGUCCAGGCAU